This 361-nucleotide long non-coding RNA is filed under the name Populus trichocarpa (black cottonwood). RNAcentral's name for it is "long non-coding RNA (PTRI_LNC000476)". The record is from RNAcentral. Lineage: Eukaryota; Viridiplantae; Streptophyta; Magnoliopsida; Malpighiales; Salicaceae.
UGAAGGUAAGCUUGGCAAGAGAAAACAAUGUCUGUCAAAUUCAAAGAACGUAACUGAACAAAAAUAUGAAGACUUUCUUUAUCUAUGCAUUAGAAAAUAUACAUCAUACUGAAUUCUGCAGCCAUGGCCCGAUGCAUUUCUUUGAAUUUACUAGAAUUUUCACCAUAUUGGUUUAGGUAUUUCCACAUUGGAGUAACAAAUAUGUAUCAGCAUUCUUGCUGUCUUCUUGUCCAUGAACAACAUUAGCCUUUUGAUGCCCCGCCAAAUUCUUCUAAGAGGCGCUCGAUAGUCUUUCUUGAUGUAACUUUGUCAAUCUCAAAUGCCUUCAUUUCAACUCUGAGACCUGCAUGAUCAACAAGCG